This 922-nucleotide ribosomal RNA is filed under the name uncultured bacterium. RNAcentral's name for it is "bacterial SSU rRNA". It matches the Rfam family "Bacterial small subunit ribosomal RNA", at positions 8 to 897 of the family's 1533-position model. The record is from RNAcentral.
AGAGUUUGAUCCUGGCUCAGGACGAACGCUGGCGGCGUGCCUAAUACAUGCAAGUCGAACGAAGCUUUCUUUCACCGAAUGCUUGCAUUCACCGAAAGAAGCUUAGUGGCGAACGGGUGAGUAACACGUAGGCAACCUGCCCAAAAGAGGGGGAUAACACUUGGAAACAGGUGCUAAUACCGCAUAACCAUGAACACCGCAUGAUGUUCAUGUAAAAGACGGCUUUUGCUGUCACUUUUGGAUGGGCCUGCGGCGUAUUAACUUGUUGGUGGGGUAACGGCCUACCAAGGUGAUGAUACGUAGCCGAACUGAGAGGUUGAUCGGCCACAUUGGGACUGAGACACGGCCCAAACUCCUACGGGAGGCAGCAGUAGGGAAUCUUCCACAAUGGACGAAAGUCUGAUGGAGCAACGCCGCGUGAAUGAAGAAGGCCUUCGGGUCGUAAAAUUCUGUUGUCAGAGAAGAACGUGCGUGAGAGUAACUGUUCACGUAUUGACGGUAUCUGACCAGAAAGCCACGGCUAACUACGUGCCAGCAGCCGCGGUAAUACGUAGGUGGCGAGCGUUGUCCGGAUUUAUUGGGCGUAAAGGGAACGCAGGCGGUCUUUUAAGUCUGAUGUGAAAGCCUUCGGCUUAACCGAAGUAGUGCAUUGGAAACUGGAAGACUUGAGUGCAGAAGAGGAGAGUGGAACUCCAUGUGUAGCGGUGAAAUGCGUAGAUAUAUGGAAGAACACCAGUGGCGAAAGCGGCUCUCUGGUCUGUAACUGACGCUGAGGUUCGAAAGCGUGGGUAGCAAACAGGAUUAGAUACCCUGGUAGUCCACGCCGUAAACGAUGAGUGCUAAGUGUUGGAGGGUUUCCGCCCUUCAGUGCUGCAGCUAACGCAUUAAGCACUCCGCCUGGGGAGUACGGUCGCAAGACUGA